UAAGCUUUAGUUAAAUUUAAUAUAGUUUUGUCGUAACUAAGAUUUAUAGCUUAA
This 54-nucleotide transfer RNA is filed under the name Tyrophagus putrescentiae. RNAcentral's name for it is "tRNA-Asp". The record is from RNAcentral. Lineage: Eukaryota; Metazoa; Arthropoda; Arachnida; Sarcoptiformes; Acaridae.